AUACGUAGGGUGCGAGCGUUAAUCGGAAUUACUGGGCGUAAAGCGUGCGCAGGCGGUGAUGUAAGACAGUUGUGAAAUCCCCGGGCUCAACCUGGGAAUUGCAUCUGUGACUGCAUCGCUAGAGUACGGUAGAGGGGGAUGGAAUUCCGCGUGUAGCAGUGAAAUGCGUAGAUAUGCGGAGGAACACCGAUGGCGAAGGCAAUCCCCUGGACCUGUACUGACGCUCAUGCACGAAAGCGUGGGGAGCAAACAGGAUUAGAUACCCUGGUAGUCCACGCCCUAAACGAUGUCAACUGGUUGUUGGGUGCAUUAGUACACAGUAACGAAGCUAACGCGUGAAGUUGACCGCCUGGGGAGUACGGCCGCAAGGUUGAAACUCAAAUGAAUUGACGGGG
This 395-nucleotide ribosomal RNA is filed under the name uncultured bacterium. RNAcentral's name for it is "partial 16S ribosomal RNA". It matches the Rfam family "Bacterial small subunit ribosomal RNA", at positions 523 to 918 of the family's 1533-position model. The record is from RNAcentral.